Molecule: ribosomal RNA, 467 nt
Filed under: uncultured bacterium
Lineage: Bacteria
Description: partial 16S ribosomal RNA
Rfam family: Bacterial small subunit ribosomal RNA
Source: RNAcentral
GAUGAACGCUGGCGGCGUGCUUAACACAUGCAAGUCGAACGGAAAGGCUCCUGCUUGCAGGGGUACUCGAGUGGCGAACGGGUGAGUAACACGUGGGUGAUCUGCCCUGCACUUCGGGAUAAGCCUGGGAAACUGGGUCUAAUACCGGAGAGGACCACAUUUUGGAUGGUGUGGUGGAAAGUUUUUCGGUGUGGGAUGAGCUCGCGGCCUAUCAGCUUGUUGGUGGGGUAAUGGCCUACCAAGGCGUCGACGGGUAGCCGGCCUGAGAGGGUGUACGGCCACAUUGGGACUGAGAUACGGCCCAGACUCCUACGGGAGGCAGCAGUGGGGAAUAUUGCACAAUGGGCGCAAGCCUGAUGCAGCGACGCCGCGUGGGGGAUGACGGCCUUCGGGUUGUAAACUCCUUUCGCUAGGGACGAAGCGUUUUUGUGACGGUACCUGGAGAAGAAGCACCGGCUAACUACGUG